This 496-nucleotide long non-coding RNA is filed under the name Malus domestica (apple). Its description in RNAcentral is "long non-coding RNA (MDOM_LNC005781)". Lineage: Eukaryota; Viridiplantae; Streptophyta; Magnoliopsida; Rosales; Rosaceae. The record is from RNAcentral.
AACACUUGACAAAUAAAAGCCGAAAGCUUUAGUUUCCGGACUUGGUACUACAAAACCAUAGAUUGUCUUAAAUGGAUUGUAUAUGUACCUAAGUAGUCUCAUCCUCAAAAUCUUCCUAUAGGUAAUGUAUCAUUGGAAGAACAUGUUAGAAAAGUCUAUCAUAAGAGGACAACACAAACAACCAAUUUAAUCCUUUGUUAAAUGAACAAAGGAACUUACGAAGAUUAACAUAAUGACAAGGACACUUUUAGUGUUAUUAGUUCUUCACUUACAAAUUGUUGUAUGAAGAAAUAAGAGUUGCUUUGAACAACCCUUAGUCAAUGCAAACACUAGUGCUUGUUUCUUUGUUAAAUGAACAAAGAACUUGAGAAGAAAGCACAAAGGCAUGGACACUUUAUGUGCCAUGAUUCUUCACUUACAAAUUGUUGUAUGAAGAAAUAAGAGUUGCCUUGUACAACUCUUGAAAGUUUGUAAUUAUGUUUAGAACAUAAUGGUU